GGGUCAUUGAUAGUGUUCAAAUAUGCAUUCUUUGGAAAUCUGAACAACAUGAGUGAAAAUUCUAUACUGUCAUCCUUAACAUACUGUUGUCC
Molecule: small nucleolar RNA, 92 nt
Organism: Ochotona princeps (American pika)
Lineage: Eukaryota; Metazoa; Chordata; Mammalia; Lagomorpha; Ochotonidae
Product: small nucleolar RNA SNORD116
Exons: 1
Source: RefSeq, a predicted model, not a curated record